UACGUAGGUGGCGAGCGUUGUCCGGAUUUACUGGGCGUAAAGAGCCCGCAGGCGGCUCGGCAAGUUUCAGGUGAAAUCUCCCGGCUCAACUGGGAGGGGUCCUGGAAAACUGCUGGGCUAGAGGCAGGGAGAGGGAUGUGGAAUUCCCGGUGUAGUGGUGAAAUGCGUAGAUAUCGGGAGGAACACCAGUGGCGAAGGCGGCAUCCUGGCCCUGUCCUGACGCUGAGGGGCGAAAGCGUGGGGAGCAAACCGG
RNAcentral lists this ribosomal RNA (253 nucleotides) under uncultured bacterium. RNAcentral's name for it is "partial 16S ribosomal RNA". It matches the Rfam family "Bacterial small subunit ribosomal RNA", at positions 524 to 776 of the family's 1533-position model. The record is from RNAcentral.